CAUUAGGGCCAUACUGCCCUGAAUGAGCACAUCUCCUCUGAUCUCAGAAGCUAAGCAGGGUUGGGCCUGCUUAGUACUUGGAGGGAGAAAUGGGGCUGCCUGU
RNAcentral lists this ribosomal RNA (103 nucleotides) under Octodon degus (degu). Lineage: Eukaryota; Metazoa; Chordata; Mammalia; Rodentia; Octodontidae. The record is from RNAcentral.